Molecule: ribosomal RNA, 409 nt
Filed under: uncultured bacterium
Lineage: Bacteria
Description: bacterial SSU rRNA
Rfam family: Bacterial small subunit ribosomal RNA
Source: RNAcentral
CAGCAGCCGCGGUAAUUCGAAGGGUGCAAGCGUUACUCGGAAUUACUGGGCGUAAAGCGUGCGUAGGCGGUUUGUUAAGUCUGUCGUGAAAGCCCCGGGCUCAACCUGGGAAUGGCGAUGGAAACUGGCGAGCUAGAGUACGGUAGAGGAGAGUGGAAUUCCCGGUGUAGCAGUGAAAUGCGUAGAGAUCGGGAGGAACAUCAGUUGCGAAGGCGGCUCUCUGGACCAGUACUGACGCUGAGGCACGAAAGCGUGGGGAGCAAACAGGAUUAGAUACCCUGGUAGUCCACGCCCUAAACGAUGAUGACUAGUUGUUGGAGGAGUUAAAUCCUUUAGUAACGCAGCUAACGCUUUAAGCAUUCCGCCUGGGGAGUACGGUCGCAAGAUUAAAACUCAAAGGAAUUGACGG